Molecule: non-coding RNA, 3050 nt
Organism: Peromyscus maniculatus bairdii (prairie deer mouse)
Lineage: Eukaryota; Metazoa; Chordata; Mammalia; Rodentia; Cricetidae
Source: RefSeq, a predicted model, not a curated record
CCACUCCCACCCCGCGCGGCCCCAAAUUCCCGGAGUCAGGUGACCUGGCCCGGGCGCUGCUCCCCGGACCUGCGGGAGGUGCUCUCUGGACCGCCCACGCCCCGUCCCCGCGGCGAGUCCAGGACGUCCAGGUUCGGUUUUGAGUUCGGCGGCUCGUGGGAUCCUUCAGCGUGGAUCUGUCUCACUGUCUUGAAGUGCUCAGCGUGCUUGUGGACAGCAGAGGACACCAAAAGGAAGAACUAUCAGAGGUGGAGAGCACAUCUUCACAGGGCAAAGAGGGGAAAAGCAAAGGAGCCCACCGCUCUCUGAGAAAGCCAAGUUCAGAACAGUAGAGGACGAAGCUGUUGCUCCAGCAAAGCGUUCUGGCAUGCCCAGUGAUGAGACUCUAGAACACAGUCCAGCAAGUACCAGAGUCAGUGCCACCCACCAGUCCUAGAGAAAUGGCUGAUGACCCUUCAAAUGGCAUUGUCUGGAAGGUACAGCUAGGAACAGGUGCUGAAAUGGCAGCCUGGAGAGGCCAGAUAACAUGUCCCAAACCAUGCAACUAAUGUUGCAAAGCCAGGAUUCAAGCUUGGAACAUCGCAUUGCAGAAUGGAAGACAACACUGUGUCCUAAAGCAUGUCCUCCAGUGGAUUAGCAGCAUGGCAUGUGACAGUGAACUCUCUGCUACCCAAUGGCCAUUGUCUGGAGCACCGUAAUUAGACGCAGCCAGCCUGAAGAAGCAAAACUGAAUUUUACGAACAAGACUUAUUAGAAAUGUGCUUUGUUGGAUUACCUUCACGAUGAAGGAUAAUUGGGACCAGAAUUGCAGAACAUUGCCUGGGGGAGUUCGUUUUUUAAGAAAGGAAAUGGGGGGAGGGGUAGAAUUAGCUGCAUUCAUUCCACAGCAAUGAACUCUUCUGAGACAAGGUCAGGAGAUGUGGAAGCUUGCUUUCUUAAACAGUGUCCACAUUCUUCUCAAGUUUGUAUCCCUUUCAGCUUGUUUAAGUCCUGUGUAGCAGCUACACACCGAGCCCCAUCUGGGAGGUCGGUGUUGUGUUGGAUGCUGGUGACCCAGCUGUGGCAGCUCUGCUCUCGGGCACUAGGACCCUUGUAUCAGGAGGCAGACGAAAACAAAUAAUAAGUAAAUCCACAAGAGUGCUAUAAUAGAUGAGAAAGAAGUGCUGAAGAGUGAGGGGACAGAAAGCCACAGGAGAGGGCCAGAGACACUAUUUUAUAUAGAAUUACCAAGAAAGCAGUCUCUGACAGAGAGACCUUUUGAGCCCAUAACUGAAGGAGAUACCUGUUCUGUAGAUAGCACAAAAAUGAACUUUAACCCAGUUCAUGGAUGAGAAUUUUAGACCUGGAAGGGUCUAUAAUGAAGGGAGGCCCAGGAAGUAGUCUUUUAUUCAGAACCAUAUUAUGAAUAUGUUAUAUAUUAUCAAUACAGCUUGAUUGAAAAUGUUAAAUAAGUACUCUCCUGUAAUUCAACAAAUACUGUGUCACUAUUAUGUGCCACCAGCCUAGGCUCAUGCUUUCUGCAUUGCGUCCUAUGGUUUCAUGAUUCACAAUAUAUUUCAAGCUAACAAGUUUCUACUGUGACUUUAUAUUUUGGUUAGCCUGAGGUAUGGUUUCCCUUUCUGUGGUAUGUUAAUAUGGUAAAUGAUGAACCAAAUCUUAGUGGUUGUGGUUACAGUUGUUUGUGACAUUACCAACCACUCUAUCCCUAUCUCUUCUUUUAAUUGAUGACUUCCUCCUCCUCCUUCUUGUUAGAAAUUAUUCUGCUGGUCCGUGUUUACUUGUUAAAUUAUACUCUGUUUGCUCUUUCAUGUGACAGAAAAAUUCUUGUUCUAGUGUUGGAGGUUGGGCAAGAGAAGAAGAUUGGGCAUGAAAGGAACCAGAAUAUUCAAAUUCAAAUCAGAGGGCAAAGUUGGCGUCUCCAGAGAGAACUGGCAACAGAAGGUGACACAAGAGAUGUCCAGGCAUCACACCAAGCACAGGGUGUAUACAUAAGAACAGAGUCUGCUACCAGAGUGAGGAGACGGCCAUUUGAACAGAGACGCGGAUACCGACUGAAGGCGAAGAGACAAGAGGUUUGCAAGGCUAGGUAGGGUGAGGGACCAGAACGGCAGCAAGGAGUGAGUGGGGUCUGGGAUGGUUCACUUUGGGUGCAAGCCUGACUGGGCUAAGUGCUAGUCAGCUGGAAAGCACUGUUUCCGGAUGUCUCUGCAAGAGUGUUUCCAAAAGAAGACGGUGCUGCAUCCAUCAGGCUUCAUAAAGGAGAUUGUCCUUGACCACGUGGGUGGGAAUUGUCUUUGAAUACAGAAACCUAAACAGAACAUGGAAAUAAAGGAAGAGUCAGUCUGCCCUCCCUUCUUGAACUAGAUCAGCCAUGUUUGUCUUCGUGGGACAUCAGAGCCCCUGGUUUUGAUCCUUGGGGCUCAAACAUUUACACCCCACUCCCUGGUUCUCCCUAGUCUGUCUUCCAGUUUUGUGCUGAACUAUAUCACUGGCCCUCCAGUUGUAAAUCCUGCAGAGGGAAUUUUAAUACUACUUUGUGUAAGUUUAUAAUUGUUACCCAGACACUAAGGUCCAUGCCUAUCAAUAUUAGCCACUCAGGAGACUGAAGUAGAAGGAUCACUUGAGCCUAGGAGUUUACAACCAGUCUAAGCAAUAGAAAAAUAUCACUUCAAAAUUCAAUCUAAUUUAAUUGAAAAACAAAAAAUAUUGUCAAUCCUGUAAGAGUUGGAAUGGAAGCCUUGGAAUGUUGUCUUUAGAGAAGCAUAUCCAUAGAGUUGUCUGUGGCAAUAUAAGAACUAGAGUUCUCUAAAGAAAGAAGUGUGUGAGUGUGUGUGUGUGUGUGUGUGUGUGUGUGUGUGUGUGUGUGUGUGAGAGAGAGAGAGAGAGAGGGGGGGGGUAUAAAAGGAAAUUGGUGAUGAGAAUCAGCUCACACAGCAUGAGGCUAAGAAAUCUCACAAUAUGUUGGUCCCACCCAUAAUAACAUUACACUGGAUAGAAUGUUUCCAACAUGUGUUUUUUGGUUUGGUGGGGGCACAUUUAGAUUAUACAUG